This 773-nucleotide ribosomal RNA is filed under the name Acinetobacter sp. CUL-LAN10K10. RNAcentral describes it as "bacterial SSU rRNA". It matches the Rfam family "Bacterial small subunit ribosomal RNA", at positions 1 to 771 of the family's 1533-position model. Lineage: Bacteria; Pseudomonadati; Pseudomonadota; Gammaproteobacteria; Moraxellales; Moraxellaceae. The record is from RNAcentral.
UUAGAGUUUGNAUCCUGGCUCAGAUUGAACGCUGGCGGCAGGCUUAACACAUGCAAGUCGAGCGGAGAUGAGGUGCUUGCACCUUAUCUUAGCGGCGGACGGGUGAGUAAUGCUUAGGAAUCUGCCUAUUAGUGGGGGACAACAUUCCGAAAGGAAUGCUAAUACCGCAUACGUCCUACGGGAGAAAGCAGGGGAUCUUCGGACCUUGCGCUAAUAGAUGAGCCUAAGUCGGAUUAGCUAGUUGGUGGGGUAAAGGCCUACCAAGGCGACGAUCUGUAGCGGGUCUGAGAGGAUGAUCCGCCACACUGGGACUGAGACACGGCCCAGACUCCUACGGGAGGCAGCAGUGGGGAAUAUUGGACAAUGGGGGGAACCCUGAUCCAGCCAUGCCGCGUGUGUGAAGAAGGCCUUAUGGUUGUAAAGCACUUUAAGCGAGGAGGAGGCUACUGAGACUAAUACUCUUGGAUAGUGGACGUUACUCGCAGAAUAAGCACCGGCUAACUCUGUGCCAGCAGCCGCGGUAAUACAGAGGGUGCGAGCGUUAAUCGGAUUUACUGGGCGUAAAGCGUGCGUAGGCGGCUUUUUAAGUCGGAUGUGAAAUCCCCGAGCUUAACUUGGGAAUUGCAUUCGAUACUGGGAAGCUAGAGUAUGGGAGAGGAUGGUAGAAUUCCAGGUGUAGCGGUGAAAUGCGUAGAGAUCUGGAGGAAUACCGAUGGCGAAGGCAGNCCAUCCUGGCCUAAUACUGACGCUGAGGUACGAAAGCAUGGGAGCAA